AAAGAUUGGGGAGUUUACGGAACCAUAAGGCUUGGAGGUAUGGUAGGUCUCCCACCUGAGGUGGGAUUUGGCCGGUGAGAGCUUCGUCGUCUUGAAUUAUGAGGGAAAUUAUGCGGUUGCUGGUUUCGUCACAUUCGACUAGGUCCCAACCACAACAAUCGUCGUCUGACACCCAUGAGUCUGUAAUGGUGGGGUUUUUCAAGGCUGUUUUGAUUUGGAGUAAAGCUUGCUUGUCGUUGUUGUUGCAUCUUUGUGAUGCAGAGAGGUUUGGAAGGCAGAGGAAAAUCAUGCAUAUGCACAAAAUAGGGCAGAAAGAUGAUUCAAUAUUCAUAUUGAAUUAUUGGAUUAUGUUUUCGAGUUGUGGGUAAAAUUGAAGGCAGUUCAGUGUCCUAUUUAUAGACGGGAGUCACGGGAUUGUUUUGUGGGGUUAGUUUAAAAGUUUAUUCUUGCUAAAUAGUCAAGUGGACAUAUAUCAAACUGUGGCUUCACCUUACGACGAUUUUGGAUAUUUACGACUGGCUAACAUGUUGUGCUAUGAAUUUUUUUGAUAAUAUCAUAUUUAGUUAAUAUCCUCUUAGCCAUUACAUAUAAAAUAAGUUAAAUAUCUUCUCUCACAAUUAUCUUCAAAUCAUUUUGUUUCUAUUUUUUAAUUGCUAUUUCAAUUUUUUAAAUAUGCUAUUUGAUAAAUUAUGGACACACUUUUUAAUUUAUUAAUAAAAUUUUCCUCAGAAAAAAGUAUUAAUAAAAUUAUAGAGAAAAUGUUAAAAGCUCGUCCUUUAAAAGAAAGUAUACACGACCCCUAAACAAAUGAGAAAAGCUUAAAAGCACGUUGACAAUCGGUUUUGGUACAAAUUUCUUUGAUUUUGUCUAAAACGGCUGUAUACAGAAAUUUUUCAGACUUGAUUUUAUAGCCUUAAGCCCUUAACUACAACAUCAUUAUUUAUUUUUUCUGACAUUCACUGACCCUCCAAGCUUUAUAGGCUCAUUAAUUUAUCUGUGAUAUAACUCUAUAAAUAUAUUUAGUGAUGUAAAAAUUCAAUUUAAACACUAAACUCUUUAUUCAUUUCUUAACAUUUUGUAUUAACUAUUUGACAUAUAUUUUAAGAUGCAUAUAAAAUAUAGGUUUAUAUUAUAUUUUAUAAAAAAAUAUUUUGUAUAAAAAUUUAAAUAUUAAAUUUUUGUUCAGACAAAAUAAUCUAAUAAUAAAUUAUCAAACCAUAUUUUAUAAAAAAAAUUAAAAAAUAUGUCAAAACCCCGUCAAUCAAUGUCACGACUGGGUGAGGGGGACUAGGACGUACGGGUCGUUGUCUACUUGUCUAUCUCGAAUAUUUCAGUCAAGUGGCCACUCUUUCGAGUUUGCGUAUACGUGGUCAACUUCAAUUUUUACGUUUCAAUAUAAUAAUGUUUGUUAUUAUUUUAUAAAUUAUUUUCUAAAAAUAAUCAAAUUUUAUUUUCCAUUUCUUGACAUAAUGACUAAUUAAAAUUUAGCGGAUGCCAUUUUCCCAAAUGAUGAAAAGAAAAUUUAGUUAUUAAUUUAUGAAUUUGAAACUUUUAUCAUUUUCAGAAAUUAUAAAAAAUACGACCACCACUCUAUAAUUUAUUUUAUAGAAAAAACUAUACAUCCUCCUAUAUUUUAAAGCAUCACCACCGAUCCCUUAAAAUGCUACUAAAAAUAAUAUAAAUAUAAACUCUAAAAUGCUUAAACAGCUUUGAUACUUGUCAUCGUCGGUAGUUCGGUGGCUUCUUCUUUAUGCCUAAAUUAUAUUCUAUUAACAAAUAAUAACAAUGUGUCGGUAGGGAAAAUUAAUGACAGAAAUAUAAAGAAGUGACUUAGAUUAUUAAUUAAAGACCGAAGGAGGAGAGACUUAGCUACUUGAAGAAGAUUUAUGAGAUUUGUGGAGUAGGGAGCAAUGUUAUGUUUGGUAGGUUAGAAUGAAAUAAAAAAAAUUUAAAAUAGAUGAAAAUAAUAGAAUAAAAGAAAAUUGAGAAAAUAACUAAGUGAGUACAAAUUGUUAUAAUAUUUUAUAAAAUCAAAUAUUUUGAAUAUUAAAUUGAAUUAAUUAUCUUAAAUGAAAAGUUGUAUUAUAUAACUAUCAAAUUAGUUUUUUUUGUAAUUUAUGAGACACACAAACAUUCUCUAACUGAAAAAACUUAUCUCAUAUCAUGUUAAAAUUCGUAGUUCAAUCAGUUAAUUACCGAGUCAUCAUAUUAGAUGAUUUAUUCGGUCAAAAAUAAAAAACUUUAUCUAAAAUCUUUUAACUUUUAUAUACGACUUCUAUUAAAUGACUGAUACAUACAGUAUAUAUUGGGCAUGUUUGGGAAGAAGAAGCGGAAACUGCUUCUGACUUAUGCUUUUCUUAACCCAUUUGUGUAAAGAAUUAUAAGCAUUUUUAAGAAGCUGAGAAUUCUAGUUUCUCUCCCACAGUUUCUGCUUCUUUUCUAAACUCUUUAUUAAUUUAUUUACUUCUCACUUCUACUUUACUUCUUUAAUAUAAGCAAAAAAUCAUUUUUUUUAAACUAACCCAAACAGCCCAUUAUUUUAAAGACCUUAAGAGAACGCUGAAACUUCGAUGUAGGGCUGUUCGCGGUGCGGGCGGUGCGGUUUUUUCCUAAAACCGGGAACCAACCCGCGCAUGCGGUUUGAGAAAAUUCGUAAACCGCAACCGGACCGCGUAAUAUAAAAACCGCGUAAACCACACCACAAAAUUGUGGUGCGGUUCAUGCGGUUUGCGUGUUUUAUACAUUCAAAAAAAUUAUACUUUUGAAUGACAAUAUAAAUAUAAUUUUAAAGUAUAUGUAUUUAAAAAUAAUUUUUAAUAUAUAUAUAUAUACGUGCGCACACACACAAAUAUAGAGUUACGAUACUCAUGAAAAGAAAUAUAAACUAAAAUAUGAGUAUGAUAAUGAUGAAGAUCAAAAGAUUUCAACAAUUACAAGUCAUUUUAUUAAAAAAAAAUAUAAUUAUAAUAUUUAAUUUGUCGUCUUAAAGCUAACAUUUUUUUGUAUUGUAAAAUUAUUAAAAUUAAGUUGAGUAACUUGAACAUAUAACACAUAUAGAAUAUAACAUCAUAAUAAAUAAUUUACCUAUAUAAUAUAAAUAUUUGUAAUUAUAUGUGAUAUAUUUUUAUAUAUUAGAAAAUAACGGUGCGGUGCGGUUUGAACCGCGCAUGUAUAAUAUCAAACCGCAACCCACGCCGCACCGCGCGGUUUGGUAAAAUUUCAACCCGCAAGGGGUGAUCAAAAAACCGCCCAACCCGCAUAAACCGCCCGCACCGCACCAAACCGCACCACAAAACGCGGUUUUUAAUUUUCGUGGUGCGGUUGCGGUUUGAUUUUUUCACAAAUCACGCGGUGUGGUGCGGGUUGCGGUUUGGCAUAUUGCUAGUGCGGUUUAAACCGCACCGCACCGCACCAUGGUAUUAUAAUAUAUAUAUUAAUAUAUUAGUGAUUGUCAAAUAAAAUUAUAUAUAUAUAUAUAUGUUUUUUAUAAUUAUGUCAAAUAAAAUUAUAUUAUGUUAAAUUAUAUUAUAUAUUUUAUAUCUUGUUAAACAAUAGCUAAUUAUUAUUUUAUCAAUCUCGCAUUACCAUUAUAUUACCAUUAUACCAAAUUUGUAUGAUAUGAUUAUAUUAUUAUAAUAUGUUUCUUAGUACUCAUAUUUAUUAUUAUAUUUACACUUUUAUGUGCAUUAUUUUUGUAGUUGUAGUUCUGAAAUGAUAAAUAUCAUAUAAAUUCAUUACAAGAAAAAAUUUUAGUUAUUUUAUAUUUAAAUUUUAUUACUAACUUCAACUAAAAAUAUUUAUUCUUAAACAUACACAAACCGCACCGCACCACACCGCAUUUUUGUGGUGCGGUUUACGUGGUUUUUAUCCUAGCGCGGUGCGGUUGCGGUUUGAGUUUUCAAGCAAACCGCAUACGCGGUUUGAUUUGCGGUUUUGAUGAAAAACCGCACCGCCCGCACCGCGAUCACCCCUACCCGCAACCGCACCAUGAAAAAGAAAAACCGCAUUUUGCGGUGUGAUGCAGAGCGGUGCGGGCGGUUUAUGCGGUGUGGGCGGUUUGAUGAACACCCCUACUUCGAUGUGCUAUGUUUCCAUUAAAAAAUUGGGUGAUGCAUGUAUAUUGUCAAAAGGAAUGUUAAAUAUAUAUCUCAGUUUUUUUCUCAAAAUUUUCCCAAAAUGUUGAGUUAUCAAUAUAUAGACUAUAAUUUCGUUCUAAAUAAUAUGGAACCCGUAUGUAUGAGUUAAGUUUCUUGGAGUCCACAUUUCAAUGGAGGUUUGGAGUCCUCAUUCUUUAAAAUUGGAUAAAAUAUAAUCUAGUGAUUUCAAAUUUAGUGUUUUUUGUUCUAUAAUAUUUAUAAACAUCCGACAAGCUAAAAAUUAUGUUCUACCACAUAAUAAACAUGCAUAGCAAUUAUUUUUUCAAAUCACAGGAUGCUUUGUUCUACAAUAUAUUUAAUAUGACCUGCGAUUUAUAAAAUUAAUUAUUGUGCAUAUUGAUUAUGUUAUCCAUUUUUUAAGAAUGAGUACUCUAACAGUCCAUUAAAAUGAAAUGAUGAGGACUCCAAAAAUCUUUACACUACGUGUGCAAAGAGCCCGAGGACUACUCAGCGACCCUAACAGCGCCAAGCACAAGCAUCAUUCGCCGCGCACAAGCGUCAUCCGCAGACACCAGAGUUGACAGCCCCGUCAGGGGAGGGAAGAUUUCAAGUUCUUAUAAGGUCUAUGCCGAGCACUCCGCAAGAAUGUCUUUGCGCGAAUUAUGAGGUUUAGGCCGAGCACCCCAUAAGAGUGUUUUUCGGCAAAAUACCAUCAAAUCUACGCCAAGCAAUCCACAUAAAUGUCUUUGGGAACAGUACCGUCAGGUCUCUUAAAAUCUUGCUAGCGGGAGGGGAAAGUUUCCACUCAUUCUACUUGGUAAACACUGCUCUAUUGUCAUAUUCAAUCACAGACCGGGAAAUUCAUGCGAAGACAAUCAUGAACUCAUGCACUCUGUUGAUUAUUACAUGAUAUGUCUUGUUUUCUUGAAUAUAGUAAUUUCUACUCCUUCCGUCUUCCUCAUUUAUUUACAUUGGGAGACGGGGCUCGGCACACAUUCCAAUGCCCUCAUAAAACGCAGUUUGAUAAAUUAUUUUAAACUUUUUUUCUUCUGAAUAAAUAUUUGAUGUUUAAAUUUUUAUAAAAAAUAAAAAAUUUUAAAAAUAAGUUAUAGAACUAUGUUAUAUAUGCGUCUUAAAAUUCGUGUCGAGCCGCGUGAAAAAUCGUAGAAAAAUGAGGCAGAGGGAGUGAUUUUUAAAUAUCACACACAUAUACACAAAAGUCGGAGAUCUUUUCUGGAAGAGUCUCUUUUAUUUUUAAAUAAAAGUAAGACUCUUCUCUUCAAUUUUUAAAUGAAAACAAUACAGCCUAUAUCCUACCCUCAUCAGACCUGCAUGGAGCCGGAUAGUGAUACGUUUUUUUGUUAAGUGAAUGCUCUAACAAACGACUAGGGGAUAAACCCACAAUAUGCCAAUACUAUCCAUCCACCAUUUUCACGUUUGGUGGCAGAGAAGUCACAAGCAUCCUAUUCACCGUCAAUUCAUUGGUUUUUAACCUCUUGUGAAAAGUCCCCGAAUUCAGGGUAAGGUUAGAUAUUCUGUAGAUCUUAUCUAUCCAGAAUGACUACUAGUCGGCAGAGGAUUCACUCGGGUAACAAUUGAAUUAUCAGGAAACGGUUAUUUUCUCUCUUCCUCACAUUUCACGCGCAUUUAAAUUUUAAUGAUUAUAUAAAGUAUAGUUUCAUAUAUUAUAAUUAUGGCUAAUACAUAAGGAUGACAUUUUUACCCGACCCGAUGGAUACCCGACCCGUUCUGACCCGAUUGGGUCUACCCGAACCCGAUUUUUUUGGAUUUGGAUCUGGGUCUGGAUCUUAGUUUCAGACNGAUUGAGACCCGAUUGGGUCUACCCGAACCCGAUUUUUUUGGAUUUGGAUCUGGGUCUGGAUCUUAGUUUCAGACCCGAAAGAGUUUGGAUCUGGAUCUGGAUCUCAGUUAUCCCGAACCGAAACCCGACCCGAAACCGAAACCCGAAAAAAACCCGAUACAAUAUAUUAUACACACACACACACACAUAUAUGCAUACAUACAUACAUACAUACAUACAUACAUACAUACAUACAUACAUACAUACAUACAUACAUACAUAUAUUAUAUGUUUAAUGUAGAGUAUAUAUAUUGAAAUAUUAUGAAUUAUUAGGUAUGAAUAUUAACAUUUUAUUUAAUUUUAUAUGCCCAAUACAUAAUUUAUAUUCAUUUCAUCAAUAUUUUUCUCAAUUAUUGUGCAUUAAAAAAUCUAAAUAUAAUAAGAAUAUAAAAUAUAAAUGAUAAGUUGAAUGAUUGUAUACAAUUAAGUUAACAUGUUUCACGUGUUUAUUGUACUAAACGAAACUUGUAAAACCCUUUAUUAUAUUUCUAAAUUUUAAAAAAAUCAAUCAUCACAUUUUUUUUUAGAUAUAUAAUUUUUAAUUUUUAUUUUAUUUUUUUAAGUAUCCGAAUUAGACCCGGAUCCGAACUGAAACCCGAAAAAACCCGACGGAUCGGAUCUGGAUCUUCAUUUUCCAUACCCGGACCCGGACCCGGACCAAACCGAAAUAUAAUGGAUCAGGUCUGGAUCUCAAGAAACCCGACCCGACCCGACCCGACCCGACCCGUUGCCAUCCCUACUAGUAAUACACACUAAAUUAGGAAAUGAUAAAAAGGGUGUAUACUACUACGCACAAAACAGUAAGGGAAUGCGAGAUAUAAUUUUCAAAAAUAUUUAUACUAAAGUAUGUUUGGACUCAAAUUAAUGACGCAAUUUGUAAUUAACUCAUAAUAAUACUCGUACUCUUGUAAAUGGUACUAUGAAAAACACAAAUGGUGACAUCUGAGAAUGGCCAUAUGCUAUACAAAUCUUGAUACAACUGAAGUCUUUGGAAAAGGAUAUUAUUGAUACUCUUAACAGUAUUUGCAAGAUUUGUCCAUAAGUUAAACAAUCUCCAAUUUCUUUCCCUUCUGGUCAUACGAGGAUCACACAAGCUUUUAUAUUUAUUCUUGUCGACAAUUAGGGUCUCUACAAACUCAUACUGACCACAUAUUUUUCCUUACAAUAGUUGAUGAUUUCACUCUAACGACUUGGGUUUUUCUUAUGAAACACAAGUUAGAAGCUACGUCAAUUUUGGAGAUUUUUGUAUACAUAUUCAUUUACACACAAUUCUGAAAAGAUAUUAUGACCCGUUUGAGAACCUGGAUUUCAUUUAGAAUUCUGGAUUUGAUCAAAUAACCUGAUUGAAAAUUUGGAUUUGGAUUUCACUUGAAAUCCAGACAUUCAAAUAUCAAUAUAAACUAAGAAUUUGAAAUACCAUACCAUACCAUUGUAUUCAGUAUAUCCCAUUUAGAGCAGGGUUUGAGGAGGGAAAAAUGUACGCAGCCCUGCCCCUACCCUUAAAGUAAAGAGGUUGUUUCCGUGAAGACCCCGGCUUAGUGCACAAUAAAUAAAAUAGUGUGUGAUAUAAUAUUAAUACCAUACCUUAGCCCAUGAUAUUCUUCACAUGGGACUUACUUAAAUAUUCUCUAUUGUUGGAGGCGAAGUCUGGUAAAGGAACGAAUGGAAAAAUCAAAACCAUCGGGAAGAAGGCUUGGAUACGUAGUUCGUAUUGUCUAUUGGCUCCCAAUUAUCAUUGUCUAUCCGCUCGAAGCCUUAAAGUAAAAAGUAAAGGACUGGGGAAGUCCAUCAAUACUCAUCGUAGACAAUUGACAUUAAGCGGGAAGAGUAGACUUCAAGUAUUGGACUUACGUGAGUUGGUCGGGUCAAGGACCUAGGGCAGUCGCUACAGAAUAGAUUUGAAACCGAGCGGGAACAUGGCGGGUAGUAGCCUUUAACUAGCGCUGGUUAGGAGGAGUACAACUAUCUAUGAUGCCAUCACAUCAUUUAAACCGUCAGAACCCAAACAUAUACGGUAUAUGUUGCAUCAUAUACGAAACCACUUCGGACACGGUGUUGAUAUUGGUGAUGAUGAGUGGGCGACAGGAGAGGGAGAGGGGGCUGAGGGAAGGAGAGCAAGCGGUUACAAUUCUCACUGUAGAUGUUUUGUAUUAUAUAAUUGUUCAUGAACUGAGAAUUUGAAACGAUAAACUCAAACCAUUUCAUUUGAAAUCCAUCAUUUCAAAUGAAAUGCACAUUUCCAAAUGUUCUCUUAAAGUUUUCAAAAGUUAUGAUGCUCUUAAAUUUUGUGAGAGUAAGAUAAUGAAAUUUUAUGCCAUGAGAGUUAUUUUUCAUCAAAAAAAUUGUGUAACAGUCAUCAAUAAAACGAACAGUUGAACGGAAGCACAAAUGAUGGUUACAUAUUUUUGCAUAUAUUUGAUUUCCUAUUAUUGUUUGUUCUCGUAUUUUCAUUAGUUAUUUGUUAUAUUUUCAGGAACUCGUUGAUAAAUAAAUAAUCAAGAAUUCAAGAGGAGAAAGAACAAAAAAGUCCAAGAAAGGCAAAAGAGGAAAGAAAGAAAGAAAAUAAAAGGAAAUCAAGAUACUAGGGAUGGGCACGGGGGCACUUCAGGGUCGGGGAGUGUGGACGCCCCCGAUCUCCGAAUUCAAUACUCAUCUCCGACUCCGUCCCGAACCUCUAACGGAGAUUUUUCUUCCUCCCCGAUACCUGUCUUGAACGGGAAACGGAGAAUUCCCUCGGGGAUUCGGGGAAUUUUAAUUUUUUUUAAAAAAAAAAUUUUAUAAUAUACAAUAUAUUUUUUAAUAAAAAAACAAACUACUAACUCAUAAUAUACUAAUAAAUUAUAUUAUCUUAUACUUUUAACAUCAAAUCAUAUUAAAAUUAAUUUAUAAUAUAAAUAAACUACAAUAUAUUACUUUAAAAUAUUAUAAUAAUCGAUCGAUAAAUAUAAAGAUAAUUUUUUAAUUUAAAUAAUAUUAUAAAAAAUACCUAUUUUUGAUAAUUUAUUUUGUAUAAUAUAUGAAUAUAUUAUUAUUUGCAUAUAUAUACACACACACACAAUCGGGGUCGGGGAUCGGGGCGGAGAGACAUAAAUCCCCAACCCACGGAUUUUUUUAUAAAACUUUCCCCGUUCCCCGCCCUGAUUCCGGAAAAUUCCCCGAACCCCUAAAGAGCAGUGUUCAAAUCGGGGUCGAGCAGAACAGGAUGAAUGCCUAUUCUUACGAGACACAAAGAACUUUCUACCCCUAAACUCAAAUCCAGGCGUAUACAAAUAUUUUUUCUCUCUCGUUAAUCAUCGACUUAGCCUUUACUUUAGUUUUUAGUAUAAAUUGAUCUAACCUCGUUUGUAGUCAUCUUUUUCAUUUCAAAUUUCUAGAUCCAGUUCAUUUUGUCUUUGCUAAAUUUUAUUUGAUGGGUUGAUUCUUGAUGUUAAAGUAGAUUUUGAAGUUGGGUCGUUGUUGAUGUGCUGUUUUGUUUCUUCCUUCCGUUUCGCGCUCUGCUUUUGCUUUUAUUUUAAUAUUUUUAUUUUAUUCAAAUAUUAAUCUUUUAUUUAGUUAACGUGCAAUAUAAUUUGUUAGAUAAAAUUUAGUUAAUAUAAUUAGAUUUUAGGUUUUAAUAAUCUAAGUUUAAUUAUUAUUUAAUAAAAUAUAUUUUAAAUUUUAAAUUAAAGUUUAGAUUAAUAAAAUACUAAUUCGACUAAAUUUUAAAUUAAAGAGUUGGCGAAAUUAAUUUAAUAUCUUGAGUACGAACUUAAAAAUAUUAAAAUGAUAUCAUGCGCUUGCGAUUAAUUUCAAAAUCUAAUUUUUGGCACAUCAAUGUAUAUUAUGAGCAGUGCAUCUCAUAAACCGAAUGCCUCUGCAAGUUCUUGAUAACUUAGUCCAUAUCAAAGCCAAGAAAUGUAUGUUUAUAAGGUAUCCUGCUAGCCAAUAGGGAUACAAAAUGCUAGACAUGGAAACUUUUCAGAUUAUUAUCUCUCGAGAUGUCAUAUUCCAUGACAACAUUUCCCAAUUCAUCAUGGAAUACAUUGUCUUCAAAGUCACCUCUUGUUUUCUUUCUUCCUACAUGUAUUGACUUCACCCCCUUUCAUAAACUAGUACUAUAAGCAAUUUCCAUCCUUGCAAAAUGCAAAGUUAGCACAAUCUAUUUUAUAAUGUCUUUGAGUUAAGCUCUCCUUCAAAUGAUUCUACAUUUGACUUCUCUCUUGAUAGCUUUCAUGAUCUGUCACCACCUACAUUGAGAGGAAGUACUUGAACUAUUAAAUUAACAUCUACUUACGAUGAUUUUGUAUGUGAAACUUUAAUUCCCAGUAACGAUUGCACACAUUGAUGUAAUUUGGUUUCAUAUUCUACCUUACCAUCAGCAUUUCGAACAACUGUGCAUCAUAGUAGUACUUUGGUGGAACCUUCUUCUUAUACAAAAGCUGUAAAGAUAGCAGAUGAUUUGAUGUCAUGGAAAAAGAGUUGCAAGCCCUUCAUGAUAAUUAACACCUGGACACUGAUUGAUUUACUAGCUGGCAAGAAGCCUAUUUGAAGUAAAUGGUUCUAUAAAAUUAGAUUAAAGGCUGAUGGCAGUGUCGAAUGUUUUAAAUCCAGAAUUGUAGCUCAAGGCUAUAAUAAAUAAUGGGGCAUUGAUUUCGAAGAGACGUUAUCUCUAAUGGUAAAAUGACUAUUGUCAGAUGUUUGCUAAUUGUUCACAUAGCACUGCCUUCUUUUCUACGUAGUUAGAUGUAAACAAUGCUUUUCUGCGCGAAGAUAUAAAUGAUGACGUAUAUAUUCAUGUUCUAGAAGGUGUUCUUAAUUCAUACAAUAGGGUCUGCAGAUUGCUUAAAGCAUUGUAUGGAUUCAGGCAGGCCUCAAGGUAGUGGUCUGCAAAGUUAUUGAGUGAGCUCAUCAAGAAAGGAUUUGUGCAGUUCAAAAUUGAUUAUUCACCUUUCAUCAAAAUGCUAUGAUUUCAGUUGUAUAUGUUGAUGACAUUAUUUUAAGAGGUAAUAAUCAUCAAGGAAUUUCUGAUCUCAAAGAUCAUUUAGAUAAUACUUUCAGCAUCAAGGACUUAGGAAAACUGGGGUUUUUUUUGGACAUUGAAGUGGUAUAUAUUCCUUCUGGUAUUACUUUGACAUAAAUGAGUUUACUCAAUAACUGAGGGAAGCAUGUAUAGAAAAUUGCAAGACCCCAGCAUAUAUAGAUGUUUUGUUAGCAAACUCAAUUUCUUAACACACAUCAGGCCUGAUUUAUCUUUUACUGUCCAAUAUCUAAACCAAUUCCUUCAGACACCAAGAUUUCCUCAUUACAAUUCACUUCUCCAUGUUUUAAAGUAAGUGUCCACUACAUCAGGGCAAGGCAUUAUACUGAAAGCUAUUGAACAGUUAAUUUACAAGCAUUUUCGUAUUCAAAUUGGGGAGCUUGUCCUUAUUCAUGGAGGUCUAUCUCACGUUAUGUCUUGUUGCUCAGAAAUUCUCUAGUAAGCUGGAAGUCAGUGAAAGAAGCAAAGCAAUGUAUCUAAAAAGCUCAUCUAAGAAGAGGAUAGAUCUAUGUCUUCAGCAGCAUCUGAGGUUACAUGGUUAGUUAAAUUACUUGCAGAAUAAGGCUUACAAAACCGAAGCCUGUCACAUUGCAUUGUGAUAAUCAAAGUGCCAUCCUAAAACCCAGUACAUCAUCAAAGAACGAAGCACAUUGAGAUUAACGUUCACUUUACAAGUAAAUACAAGUAAUCUCUUUUUCUCCUUUCAAUUUGUAAAUAAAGUUUGCAGUGUUGAUAGCUUCAUUCGAAGGUUUGUUAAUGGAGUUCAUGCUUAUUCUGCCUCUACAAAUUGUAACAUAUAUAUUAUAAUAUAUCACAAAUCCAAGAGGACACGUGUCUUUGAAAAUACAGAUAUACUAUCACCGAAGAUAAGUUUAUUACAAACAAGGAACGACAUAAGUCUAAAAGGUACAAAUAUCUUACAAAAAAAGGUAACUUAUUGCGUCAUCAUACGCCUCCUGCAUUCCACUGUUAGAUGGCUACAAUGUAUUAUUUUGUUCCUUUUAUUAGUACAUAACAUAAUCUCAUCACAAAGAUAAGCUUAGGGCACAUUUUGCAUGGUAAUUAACUAGCAUUUAGGCAAUGGAGCACCACACAAGCAAGUGUUGUUGAGAUAGGCCGUAUUGCCAAAUCUUUCUAGGUUCCCUUCUGCUGGAAUCAUGCCACAGAGCUUGUUAUUACUAACGUUAAAUGUCUGCAACUGCAGUUUGGCCAAUGCAGUAGACAGAUUUCCGCUGAUCUGGUUGUGGUUCAAAUCCAAGUAUAUUAAUGAGGGUGGAAACUGCUGCACCUUGGAAAAAUUAAAACUAAACGUGUUUCGUGAAAAAUCUGCAGUUUCUAGGCGCUUCUUAGUCCCAAAAAAGAACGAUAUGUCACCUUCUAGUGAGUUCCAAGACAGGUCAAUCCUAAUUGGAUCCGAACUAGCAAAUGUUUGUGGAACAAAGCCCGUCAGAUGGUUAUGAGAAAGAUAUAUGUCUGGGGAUCCAGAAAUGUUCCCAUAGGCAGCAGGAAUUUCACCUGUGAGAUGGUUCCGGUCUAAGUGAAGGGCGGAAAGGUUUUUAAGGGUAGAAAGCUGAGAUGGGAUGACCCCGUUAAGUUUGUUGGAGGACAAGUCUAAGUAAGUUAGGUUUGUGAGCUGUGCGAAGAAUAUGGGAACAGGGCCACUGAGAUUAGUCCAGCUGAGCCGGACGGAUUUUAGGCUAGUGAGUGCAGAAAUUUGUUCUGGGAUUGCUCCGUAAAGAUUGGGGAGUUUAUAGAACCAUAAGGUUUCAAGAUAUGGCAGGCCUCCCACCUGAGGUGGGAUUUGGCCAGUAAGAUUGUCGUCGUCUUGAAUAGUGAGGGAAACUAUGCGGUUGUUGGUUUCGCCACAUUUAACGAGGUACCAAUC
Molecule: long non-coding RNA, 12860 nt
Filed under: Daucus carota (carrot)
Lineage: Eukaryota; Viridiplantae; Streptophyta; Magnoliopsida; Apiales; Apiaceae
Description: long non-coding RNA (DCAR_LNC003453)
Source: RNAcentral